Molecule: non-coding RNA, 621 nt
Organism: Gasterosteus aculeatus aculeatus (three-spined stickleback)
Lineage: Eukaryota; Metazoa; Chordata; Actinopteri; Perciformes; Gasterosteidae
Source: RefSeq, a predicted model, not a curated record
CUAUAAAGCUGAACUCCACCAACAUCAAAGUGGCGCGCAGCAAUCAAUCAAUCAAUCGCACCUGUCGGCUGAUCCAGCGGAGAAGCGAAUCAGAGAAAAAUAUCGAUCACCUACAUGAAAAAAAGUCCCUCGUUCGCGUGACGUCAUCGUCUCCUCCUCGUUCUCAUUGGUUCUCUCGCCAGCUUGAGAGUUUUCCCGCGCGUCCUCUGGCGUUAAACAGCGCACUGCCCUGUCGGCCGUUAGCGGCUGAAAGCUCUCGGAUCCUCCGCAGUUUAACGUACACAAACAGCCCGUAACGGUGCUUUAGCGUCGGAUAAUGUCCUCCCAGAAUUACGACUCGGGCUGUUUACCGGACUUGUUGCCGCUGUACUACCGACGGCUGUUCCCCUUCUCACAGUACUACCGAUGGCUGAACUAUGGAGGAGCAGAGCAACUGUCGUACCAGUGUGAUGCAGUUGGUGAGGAUCCUCUCGAUGGUGCAGCGGUAGAAGUUCACCAGGAUCUGAGGGGACAGAUGAGCCUUCUUCAGGUCUCCUCAGGAAGAAGAGGAUGAGGAAUCGGCCGAGGGAAUCAGGCUGCAUGAAUGCACAUCACAGGGAGCACUGAACAGCCAAGAGUGAC